This 84-nucleotide transfer RNA is filed under the name Candidatus Roizmanbacteria bacterium. RNAcentral's name for it is "tRNA-Tyr". It matches the Rfam family "tRNA". Rfam says of the family: Transfer RNA (tRNA) molecules are approximately 80 nucleotides in length. Their secondary structure includes four short double-helical elements and three loops (D, anti-codon, and T loops). Lineage: Bacteria; Candidatus Roizmaniibacteriota. The record is from RNAcentral.
CCAGGGGUGGCGGAGUGGCCAAUCGCAACAGACUGUAAAUCUGUCGGGCUUUGCCCUACGGGGGUUCGAAUCCCUCCCCCUGGA